UGGCUCAACAAAAUAUGAGGGUGUGGUUUGCUGGCAACAGCGUCCGCCCCAAGUAUUUUUCACCCAUGUCUUUUGCGCACUUUUUGUUUCCUGGGCGAGUUCGCUCGCCACCAGGACCCAACCAUAAACCUUUUUUUAUGCAGUUGCAAUCAGCGUCAGUAUAAUAAUUCAAUUUAUUAAAACUUUCAACAACGGAUCUCUUGGUUCUGGCAUCGAUGAAGAACGCAGCGAAAUGCGAUACGUAGUGUGAAUUGCAGAAUUCAGUGAAUCAUCGAAUCUUUGAACGCACAUUGCGCCCUUUGGUAUUCCAAAGGGCAUGCCUGUUCGAGCGUCAUUUGUACCCUCAAGCUUUGCUUGGUGUUGGGCGUCUUUUUGUCUCUCCCCUUGUUGGGGGAGACUCGCCUUAAAACGAUUGGCAGCCGACCUACUGGUUUUCGGAGCGCAGCACAAAUUUGCGCCUUCCAAUCCACGGGGCGGCAUCCAGCAAGCCUUUGUUUUCUAUAACAAAUCCACAUUUUGACCUCGGAUCAGGUAGGGAUACCCGCUGAACUUAAGCAUAUCAAUAAGCGGAGGAA
RNAcentral lists this ribosomal RNA (575 nucleotides) under Exserohilum rostratum. RNAcentral's name for it is "eukaryotic LSU rRNA". The stretch from base 181 to 334 matches the Rfam family "5.8S ribosomal RNA". Lineage: Eukaryota; Fungi; Ascomycota; Dothideomycetes; Pleosporales; Pleosporaceae. The record is from RNAcentral.